UAAUGUUCUUAUAGUUGAAAUACAACGAUGA
RNAcentral lists this transfer RNA (31 nucleotides) under Cerdocyon thous (crab-eating fox). RNAcentral's name for it is "partial tRNA-Glu". RNAcentral also lists the same sequence under 1 other name. The record is from RNAcentral. Lineage: Eukaryota; Metazoa; Chordata; Mammalia; Carnivora; Canidae.